RNAcentral lists this ribosomal RNA (779 nucleotides) under Dermacoccus sp. RNAcentral describes it as "bacterial SSU rRNA". It matches the Rfam family "Bacterial small subunit ribosomal RNA", at positions 46 to 835 of the family's 1533-position model. The record is from RNAcentral. Lineage: Bacteria; Bacillati; Actinomycetota; Actinomycetes; Micrococcales; Dermacoccaceae.
GCUUAACACAUGCAAGUCGAACGAUGAUGCUCCAGCUUGCUGGGGUGGAUUAGUGGCGAACGGGUGAGUAACACGUGAGUAACCUGCCCUUCACUUUGGGAUAAGCCUUGGAAACGGGGUCUAAUACCGGGUAUACACAUACUGUCGCAUGGUGGUGUGUGGAAAGCUUUUGUGGUGAGGGAUGGACUCGCGGCCUAUCAGCUUGAUGGUGGGGUAGUGGCCUACCAUGGCUUUGACGGGUAGCCGGCCUGAGAGGGUGACCGGCCACACUGGGACUGAGACACGGCCCAGACUCCUACGGGAGGCAGCAGUGGGGAAUAUUGCACAAUGGGCGGAAGCCUGAUGCAGCGACGCCGCGUGGGGGAUGAAGGCUUUCGGGUCGUAAACUCCUUUCAGCAGGGACGAAGCUUUUGUGACGGUACCUGCAGAAGAAGCACCGGCUAACUACGUGCCAGCAGCCGCGGUAAUACGUAGGGUGCGAGCGUUGUCCGGAAUUAUUGGGCGUAAAGAGCUUGUAGGCGGUUUGUCGCGUCUGCCGUGAAAGCCCAGGGCUUAACCCUGGGUCUGCGGUGGGUACGGGCAGACUAGAGUGUGGUAGGGGAGACUGGAAUUCCUGGUGUAGCGGUGAAAUGCGCAGAUAUCAGGAGGAACACCGAUGGCGAAGGCAGGUCUCUGGGCCACUACUGACGCUGAGAAGCGAAAGCAUGGGGAGCAAACAGGAUUAGAUACCCUGGUAGUCCAUGCCGUAAACGUUGGGAACUAGGUGUGGGCCUCAUUCC